GGAACUGCAUUUGGACUAGCGAGCUAGAGUAUGGCAGAGGGAGGUAGAUUUCCACGUGUAGCAGUGAAAUGCGUAGAGAUGUGGAGGAAUACCGAUGGCGAAGGCAGCCCCUUGGGCCAAUACUGACGCUCAUGCACGAAAGCGUGGGAGCAAACAGGAUUAGAUACCCUGGUAGUCCACGCCCUAAACGAUGUCAACUAGUUGUUGGGUCUUCAUUGACUUAGUAACGUAGCUAACGCGUGAAGUUGACCGCCUGGGGAGUACGGUCGCAAGAUUAAAACUCAAAGGAAUUGACGGGGACCCGCACAAGCGGUGGAUGAUGUGGAUUAAUUCGAUGCAACGCGAAAAACCUUACCUACCCUUGACAUGGUCGGAACCCUGCUGAAAGGUGGGGGUGCUCGAAAGAGAACCGAUACACAGGUGCUGCAUGGCUGUCGUCAGCUCGUGUCGUGAGAUGUUGGGUUAAGUCCCGCAACGAGCGCAACCCUUGUCCUUAGUUGCUACGCAAGAGCACUCUAAGGAGACUGCCGGUGACAAACCGGAGGAAGGUGGGGAUGACGUCAAGUCCUCAUGGCCCUUAUGGGUAGGGCUUCACACGUCAUACAAUGGUCGGAACAGAGGGCUGCCAACCCGUGAGGGGGAGCUAAUCCCAGAAAACCGAUCGUAGUCCGGAUCGUAGUCUGCAACUCGACUACGUGAAGCUGGAAUCGCUAGUAAUCGCGGA
This 724-nucleotide ribosomal RNA is filed under the name Burkholderia sp. RNAcentral's name for it is "bacterial SSU rRNA". It matches the Rfam family "Bacterial small subunit ribosomal RNA", at positions 617 to 1348 of the family's 1533-position model. The record is from RNAcentral. Lineage: Bacteria; Pseudomonadati; Pseudomonadota; Betaproteobacteria; Burkholderiales; Burkholderiaceae.